This is a long non-coding RNA of Mus musculus (house mouse), 1240 nucleotides long. RefSeq annotates it as predicted gene, 33617. Lineage: Eukaryota; Metazoa; Chordata; Mammalia; Rodentia; Muridae. The record is from RefSeq and is a predicted model, not a curated record. The transcript has 4 exons.
AGGUGGGUAGAUGUCUUAUCCUCAUCGGUGUCAGAUCUGGUGGCAUCACCCUGCACCCAGGCAAUACACAGGACAGACAGCGGAGGCUGUACCUGAAACACAGUGACGAUGGCCCACAGUAGAGAGUCGAAGUUCUUCCUGUCAGGGACGGUGUCUCCAGAGUCUGUCUUCAGGCUGAACUUACAGCCAAACAGGUGCAUGCCCAGGAUGCUGAGGGGGAUGGGCACUGAGUGGGAGGGGCCCAGACCCCCCUCUGCCAGCCCCCUCACCUCCCACACCCUGUGUCUGCUGUCAGGGCCAAUCCUGAGGCUCAACCAUUUUUCUACAGCUGAGAAGGUCUUAACCUUCAUAAAGGGGUGGACGGAGGCCACCAUUCUGCCUUUGGACAAUGACAAGGACAACCAGUCUUAGCAUCCUGUGGGAUGCUCACUCUUCCACACCCUCCCUAAGUGUCAAGACUGGCUGGCGCACAAAAGGUGCUAAGCAAAACCCACUAAAAGCCUGGUAGCAUCCCCAGGGCUCGACCUAUGCAUCUGUGGGCCUCAGAACGGAGCCGCUCCGCCCACCAUGCCUGGUGCUGUCUGAGGGAGGAGCUUGGGCCCCACCCACCUGAAGAUGAAGAUGAAGAGCAUUAGCAGCAUGCAGAAGGUGGCCACAUUGUCCAUGGUCCUCAUGAGCACCACCAGCUGCCGCCGCAGGGCUGGCAGGAAGCGCACCAGCUUCAGCACCCGCAGCAGCCGGAACGAUGGCCAGUCUGGGAGCCACCACAGCCUCUGUUCAACACCAUAGCUGGGAGCAAGUUCAGCAAGUAGCCCCAUCAGCUGUGGCUCCUGAAUCUCGGGGAAGCCCUGGCUCCCAGCUGUCAGGGAGCUCACUGACAGAGUCUGCUACCCAGGGUCUUCCACGCCUGGCUCAUCUGUACGUUCAAACCAUCCCUUCCAGGUGACUGACACUCUGUGCUGGGGCCUGCCUCAUGAUGAGCUAUGGAGGUGUCUGCACAUGAACAGUACCUGCAGUCUCACCCACCCCUUCCUUUGAAGAAGGCCCAGCAGGUCUCUUACCAUGAGUGUGCUAACCCUCCUGCACGUGUAGGCGUAUGUGCAUGUAUGUUUGUCUAUACCUGUAAUAUUAUGACCUGCAUGUGUGAAUACACACGCAUACCUGUAAUGCUGGAGAGGUUUGGGUGUGUGUUCUCUAGCACAAUUUGAGCACAAACAUGAAUGUACGGGUGGUCACCUGA